This 868-nucleotide ribosomal RNA is filed under the name uncultured bacterium. RNAcentral's name for it is "bacterial SSU rRNA". It matches the Rfam family "Bacterial small subunit ribosomal RNA", at positions 36 to 898 of the family's 1533-position model. The record is from RNAcentral.
CUGCGGCGUGCUUAACACAUGCAAGUCGAUCGGUAACGCGGGGGCACCCUGGCGACGAGAGGCGGACGGGUGAGGAACGCUUGGGAAUCUGCCCUUCAGCGGGGGACAACCCGGGGAAACUCGGGCUAAUACCGCAUACGCUCCACGGAGGAAAGCCGGGGACCGCAAGGCCUGGCACUGAAGGAUGAGCCCAAGUCGGAUUAGCUAGUUGGCGGGGUAACGGCCCACCAAGGCGACGAUCCGUAGCUGGUCUGAGAGGACGAUCAGCCACACCGGAACUGAGACACGGUCCGGACUCCUACGGGAGGCAGCAGUGGGGAAUAUUGGACAAUGGGGGGAAACCCUGAUCCAGCGACGCCGCGUGGGUGAAGAAGGCCUGCGGGUUGUAAAGCCCUUUCGGUAGGGACGAAAGCUCUUGCUCUAACACGGCAGGAGGUUGACUUAACCUACAUAAGAAGCACCGGCUAACUCUGUGCCAGCAGCCGCGGUAAUACAGAGGGUGCGAGCGUUAAUCGGAAUUAUUGGGCGUAAAGAGCUCGUAGGCGGUUUGUCGCGUCGAAUGUGAAAACCCGGGGCUCAACCCCGGGCCUGCAUUCGAUACGGGCAGACUAGAGUUCGGUAGGGGAGUCUGGAAUUCCUGGUGUAGCGGUGAAAUGCGCAGAUAUCAGGAGGAACACCGGUGGCGAAGGCGGGACUCUGGGCCGAUACUGACGCUGAGGAGCGAAAGCGUGGGGAGCAAACAGGAUUAGAUACCCUGGUAGUCCACGCCGUAAACGUUGGGCGCUAGGUGUGGGGUUCCUUCCACGAACUCCGUGCCGCAGCUAACGCAUUAAGCGCCCCGCCUGGGGAGUACGGCCGCAAGGUUAAA